RNAcentral lists this ribosomal RNA (540 nucleotides) under uncultured bacterium. Its description in RNAcentral is "bacterial SSU rRNA". It matches the Rfam family "Bacterial small subunit ribosomal RNA", at positions 353 to 893 of the family's 1533-position model. The record is from RNAcentral.
AGUAAGGAAUAUUGGUCAAUGGAGGAAACUCUGAACCAGCCAUCCCGCGUGAAGGAUGAAGGGGCUCUGCCUUGUAAACUUCUUUUGAAUGGGACGAAAAAAGGGGAUUUAUCCUCGACUGACGGUACCAUUAGAAUAAGCACCGGCUAACUCCGUGCCAGCAGCCGCGGUAAUACGGAGGGUGCAAGCGUUAUCCGGAAUCACUGGGUUUAAAGGGUGCGUAGGCGGCUAAAUAAGUCAGUGGUGAAAGGCCGUGGCUUAACCAUGGGAUUGCCAUUGAUACUGUAUAGCUUGAAUGAGGAUGAGGUUGGCGGAAUGUGGCAUGUAGCGGUGAAAUGCUUAGAUAUGCCAUGGAACAUCGAUUGCGAAGGCAGCUGACUGGACCUGAAUUGACGCUGAGGCACGAAAGCGUGGGUAGCGAACAGGAUUAGAUACCCUGGUAGUCCACGCCCUAAACGAUGCUUACUCGUUGUUUGAUCGCAAGAUUGAGUGACUAAGGGAAACCGAUAAGUAAGCCACCUGGGGAGUACGACCGCAAGG